CCUACGUGAGGCAGCAGUGAGGAAUAUUGGUCAAUGGGCGCGAGCCUGAACCAGCCAAGUAGCGUGAAGGAUGACUGCCCUACGGGUUGUAAACUUCUUUUAUAAAGGAAUAAAGUGAGGCACGUGUGCCUUUUUGUAUGUACUUUAUGAAUAAGGAUCGGCUAACUCCGUGCCAGCAGCCGCGGUAAUACGGAGGAUCCGAGCGUUAUCCGGAUUUAUUGGGUUUAAAGGGAGCGUAGAUGGGUUGUUAAGUCAGUUGUGAAAGUUUGCGGCUCAACCGUAAAAUUGCAAUUGAUACUGGCAGUCUUGAGUACAGUUGAGGUAGGCGGAAUUCGUGGUGUAGCGGUGAAAUGCUUAGAUAUCACGAAGAACUCCGAUUGUGAAGGCAGCUUACUAAACUGCCACUGACAUUGAUGCUCGAAAGUGUGGGUAUCAAACAGGAUUAGAUACCCCAGUAGUC
RNAcentral lists this ribosomal RNA (460 nucleotides) under uncultured bacterium. RNAcentral's name for it is "partial 16S ribosomal RNA". It matches the Rfam family "Bacterial small subunit ribosomal RNA", at positions 338 to 795 of the family's 1533-position model. The record is from RNAcentral.